GUGGGGGUCGGUGGAAGGCUGGUUAAACCGUUUGGUUUUCGACCACAACGACCCGGGUUCGAUUCCCGUGUUUCUGGU
Molecule: non-coding RNA, 78 nt
Organism: Cordylochernes scorpioides
Lineage: Eukaryota; Metazoa; Arthropoda; Arachnida; Pseudoscorpiones; Chernetidae
Source: the annotation of a GenBank genome assembly